Molecule: ribosomal RNA, 611 nt
Filed under: Cedecea neteri
Lineage: Bacteria; Pseudomonadati; Pseudomonadota; Gammaproteobacteria; Enterobacterales; Enterobacteriaceae
Description: bacterial SSU rRNA
Rfam family: Bacterial small subunit ribosomal RNA
Source: RNAcentral
GGGUGACGAGCGGCGGACGGGUGAGUAAUGUCUGGGGAUCUGCCUGAUGGAGGGGGAUAACUACUGGAAACGGUAGCUAAUACCGCAUAACGUCGCAAGACCAAAGAGGGGGACCUUCGGGCCUCUUGCCAUCAGAUGAACCCAGAUGGGAUUAGCUAGUAGGUGGGGUAAUGGCUCACCUAGGCGACGAUCCCUAGCUGGUCUGAGAGGAUGACCAGCCACACUGGAACUGAGACACGGUCCAGACUCCUACGGGAGGCAGCAGUGGGGAAUAUUGCACAAUGGGCGCAAGCCUGAUGCAGCCAUGCCGCGUGUAUGAAGAAGGCCUUCGGGUUGUAAAGUACUUUCAGCGAGGAGGAAGGCAUUAAGGUUAAUAACCUUAGUGAUUGACGUUACUCGCAGAAGAAGCACCGGCUAACUCCGUGCCAGCAGCCGCGGUAAUACGGAGGGUGCAAGCGUUAAUCGGAAUUACUGGGCGUAAAGCGCACGCAGGCGGUUUGUUAAGUCGGAUGUGAAAUCCCCGGGCUCAACCUGGGAACUGCAUUCGAAACUGGCAAGCUUGAGUCUUGUAGAGGGGGGUAGAAUUCCAGGUGUAGCGGUGAAAUGCGUAG